This 424-nucleotide ribosomal RNA is filed under the name uncultured prokaryote. RNAcentral's name for it is "bacterial SSU rRNA". It matches the Rfam family "Bacterial small subunit ribosomal RNA", at positions 355 to 796 of the family's 1533-position model. The record is from RNAcentral.
UGGGGAAUCUUAGACAAUGGGGGAAACCCUGAUCUAGCCAUGCCGCGUGAGUGACGAAGGCCUUAGGGUCGUAAAGCUCUUUCGCCAGGGAUGAUAAUGACAGUACCUGGUAAAGAAACCCCGGCUAACUCCGUGCUAGCAGCCGCGGUAAUACGGAGGGGGUUAGCGUUGUUCGGAAUUACUGGGCGUAAAGCGCACGUAGGCGGACUAUUAAGUCAGGGGUGAAAUCCCGGGGCUCAACCCCGGAACUGCCUUUGAUACUGGUAGUCUUGAGUUCGAGAGAGGUGAGUGGAAUUCCGAGUGUAGAGGUGAAAUUCGUAGAUAUUCGGAAGAACACCGGUGGCGAAGGCGGCGACCUGGUCCGGUACUGACGCUGAGGGACGAAAGCGUGGGUAGCAAACCGGAUUAGAUACCCGUGUAGUCC